This 1025-nucleotide long non-coding RNA is filed under the name Triticum aestivum (bread wheat). RNAcentral describes it as "long non-coding RNA (TAES_LNC016238)". Lineage: Eukaryota; Viridiplantae; Streptophyta; Magnoliopsida; Poales; Poaceae. The record is from RNAcentral.
GUCACUUUGAUAGUUGUACCUCACAUCCUGCAUCACUAUCAAGACCAACUAUUAGAUUUACCAUAGACUGUCCACUAAGAGAGGCCAAAUAUGAUCAUGAAUGAAUGACAAAACUGUAUCUACCCUCUAUAAACAUCAAUCAUCUUAAGAACCUUAACUUCAUAGCAUCCACACUGCCAGAGAACACAGAAAUAUAUAUAAACUGUAAAACAUUCACACUACAACUAAAACCAUGAUAAGUUGAGCAUAUGGAGGCAUCAAAAAAGGAAAUAGGUUAGAACUCACCCGAUCAGAGCCAACAGAACAAUGAGAACAUCCAGCUUACAUGCAACACCAUCGGUGGUAAAACUACUGCCGUCCCUAAACUGAAGAAAAUAUCAAAGAAAUUAAACCAUCAUGUCCACAAGCAACGAGUGGAUUUGUAAGAAAACCAACAACAUGAAGAUGUCCCUUGAUGUAGUAGUAAUUAAUAGGAUAUCGAUAUGAAGAAAACGAUAAUUAGAUCAUGCAUUGAUAAUCCAACAUAGAUACGUACAAAAGAACAAGCAACCUUCGAAAUAUUUGGUCGAAAGUAAUCCAGACAUUAAUUACUAAUUAUUACAUGUAGGCCAACUGAAAAAACACAACCAUCUACAAAUAGAAAACAUGGAUUGGCAUACAACAAUCAGAAGCGAGCCUUGCUCAUUCUCACUUGAUACAAAAACCCAGAAAACAAACUACAACAAACAACUGAAAUCUAAUACUCUACAGAUGCUGGAAUCAUGGUUUUUACUACAAAAAGAAUGAAGGCAUUAACAAGCUAAGUAUCUUGGUUUUAGCUACCAAACCAGAAGGAUUGCUACAGUACCUUUCAGUUCAGUAACACAGUUUGGCGAGGUUGCAAAGUGGUCUUUGUCGCCUCUGCUGCCAUCGUUGUAGGAACCCAGACCCAUCCAAACCCUAGAUGACUGAAAAAAUUAAUUAGGAGGACAUGAAUUAGAGGGAGGAGCUCACACAAGGAAUUGCAAUCAAAAGGGAGGCAGAGG